UACGGAAGGCAGCAGUGGGGAAUAUUGCACAAUGGGCGAAAGCCUGAUGCAGCUAUGCCGCGUGUAUGAAGAAGGCCUUAGGGUUGUAAAGUACUUUCAUCGGGGAGGAAAAAACAAAACUAAUAAUUUUAUUUCUUGACGUUACCCGAAAAAGAAGCACCGGCUAACUCCGUGCCAGCAGCCGCGGUAAUACGGAGGGUGCUAGCGUUAAUCAGAAUUACUGGGCGUAAAGAGCACGUAGGUGGUUUUUUUAAGUCAGAUGUGAAAUCCCUGGGCUUAACCUAGGAACUGCAUUUUGAAACUGAAAUACUAGAGUAUCGUAGAGGGAGGUAGAAUUCUAGGUGUAGCGGUGAAAUGCGUAGAUAUCUGGAGGAAUACCUGUGGCGAAAGCGGCCUCCUAAACGAAUACUGACACUGAGGUGCGAAAGCGUGGGGAGCAAACAGGGAUUAGGAU
Molecule: ribosomal RNA, 454 nt
Filed under: uncultured bacterium
Lineage: Bacteria
Description: bacterial SSU rRNA
Rfam family: Bacterial small subunit ribosomal RNA
Source: RNAcentral